GUUCUAGAAGCGGAGGUGGCCGCUGAGUCAUGCCUGGUGCGGCAUAGCUCCCUGUUUCGUAUCGCCGCCCACCCCUCCUCGCCCUGCGCUGCCGGGAUCCCGCCGUGGCCCUGGCUCCCCCUCACGCCUCCCGGCCGGGCGGCACAGGCGGGCGCGGCGGGCGCCUCAGGCGACGAUCAUUGGCGGCGGCGGCCGCGCUCGCUGAUGGUGUCAGAGCGCGGCGCCGCGGCGGGGAAGGCCCGGCCAUGCGCGGGCUGGGCCGGCGCAGGGGCGCCUGGGCCUGACGGGGGCGCGGGCAGGCGGCCGGUCGGGCGCCGCGGUAGCCGCGUCCCUCGGACAUGUCGCGCCUCUCGGCCCGCAGGCUUGGCGCGGCGCUGAGGGGCUGGCGCGGCUUCUCAGUUUGCAAGUCAUGUGCUCUCCGAAGAUUUUCAAUCCAGCCUGCCCAGCAGAAGAGGAUUCCAAACCGGUACUUGGGCCAGCCCAGCCCCUUCACACACCCACACCUUCUCAAACCAGGAGAGGUAACCCCAGGAUUGUCACAGAUGGAAUAUGCUCUUCGCCGACACAAACUGAUGGCGUUGAUCCAGAAGGAAGCUCAUGGCUGGGAUGGAUUGGACCACACCGUGAUUCUGCUGUCCAACCCCACGUACUACAUGACCAAUGACAUCCCCUACGUUUUCCACCAGGACACUAACUUCCUGUAUCUCUGUGGGUUCCAGGAGCCUGACAGCAUCUUGGUGCUGCAGAGCAUUCCUGGCAAAGCACUGCCGUCCCACAAAUCCAUGCUUUUUGUGCCCCGGAGAGAUCCAUGCCGAGAGCUGUGGGACGGGCCCAGAUCAGGCACAGAUGGAGCAAUUGCUCUCACAGGAGUAGAUGAAGCUUACACCAUUGAGGAGUUCAGGCACUUAGUGGCCAAGCUGAAAGGGGAGUCAAACAUUGUUUGGUACGACUUGACAAAACCAGUGCAUACAAAGCUGCACUCUGACUACAUGCAGCCCCUGGCUGAGAUAAAAUCUCAGAACAAAAACCACAUCCAGGGCAUCCGACAUCUAGUGCAAAACCUUCGGCUGAUCAAAUCUCCUGCAGAGAUUGAAAGGAUGAAGAUAGCUGGACGGGUGACAGCAGAGGCUUUCACAGAGACAAUGUUUGCCAGCAAAUCCCCGGUGGAUGAGGCUUUUCUUUAUGCAAAGUUUGAAUUUGAGUGCCGGGCUCGUGGUGCUAACAUCUUGGCGUACCCCCCUGUUGUUGCUGGUGGCAACAGAUCAAACACUUUGCACUAUGUGAAGAACAAUCAGCUCAUCAAGGAUGGUGAACUGGUCUUGCUAGAUGGUGGAUGUGAGUUUUCCUGCUAUGUAAGUGACAUCACGCGUACCUGGCCUGUCAAUGGAAGGUUCACCAAACCCCAAGCGGAACUAUACCAGGCUGUCCUGGAUAUCCAGAAGUCUUGCCUGAGCCUCUGCUCCCCAGGUGUGAGUCUAGAAAAUAUCUACAGCCUCAUGCUGAGCCUUAUUGGACAAAAACUGAAAGAGCUGGGUGUUCUGAAGAGCAGCAUCACUGAGAGCCACUUCUUCAAGGCUGUUCGAAAGUACUGCCCACAUCAUGUGGGCCAUUACUUGGGCAUGGAUGUUCAUGAUACCCCGGAUAUAUCCCGAUCGCUUCUGCUGCAGCCAGGCAUGGUGAUAACCAUUGAACCAGGCAUUUAUAUCCCUGAGGAUGACAUGAGUGCCCCGGAGAGGUUUCGUGGCAUUGGUGUGCGCAUUGAGGAUGAUGUUGUGAUAACAGAGGAUGUACCUCUCAUCUUGUCUGCUGACUGUCCCAAGGAGAUCUACCACAUUGAGCAGAUCUGUGGCCGCAGUUCAUGAUGCCCCUUCUCUGCCUUUUUCAUCCUCCUUGGGAGCCACAGCCCUUCAGGGAUGCAGAUCCCUGUAGUGGGCUGUAGUUGUCAAGUGAUGGAGGAGGUGGAUAAUCAGAGUAUCAUCUGGGACCUACACACAUGCUGCAGCAUCCCUUGAAUACAACCAAAUCCAUGAACAUUUUAUGUGACUUUCAUCAAGAAAACUAAAGAACCCCUUCUCCAGCUGCCCAUACCCGUGGCGUACCUCCCCAGUUGCCCAUCCCAUACUGUCAGAUUUACCGUCUAUCUCUGCCACAGAAAAGAUUCCGCGCUUCAACCACUUGGGUGCAGGAGCCACUCUCAGUGGCAGCACGAGUUGCCAGCUUCUUGGUGAGGGUGUUGGUGGGAUCACUGGAAGUAAAAGAGAAAUUGAGGUAUAUGCAAAUUCACUUAGGGAGGGAUUUUAUUGCAACUAUGGCACAGGUCUUAAAGGCAUCAGAGUACAAGAGAGAAUGCGAGCCAGCCAUCCCUGUUGAGAAGGUGCUUUGCUUUCAGAGGAAGCCCAUGAGGCUUUUCUUGGCUUUCCCCUUUCACCCUCUACCAGUGGCCUGCUUUGCCUUGCAGAGAAUUUGGUGGUGGUAAAGUCCUGUUGUUAAAGUACAGCCUGAGCAGAGGUGCUAAUUUGCAGAUAUGCUUCUGUUGUCAAAGUAGAAAGAAAUUUGGCAUUUAACGCAAUUUGGCAUUCUGUCUCUGUUAUCUGUGAAAAAUACAAUAUGUCUUUCCUAAAAUUGCAUUCAUUAUUUUACAAAGGAACAUGAUGGUGUAGGAACGAGCAAACUGAGGGAGCAUGUAAGAGCAUGGAGAUGGAGGUUUUUGGGAAUGUACAAUGCAGUAGAGAAGAUUUGGAGCUGUGAGGAUGUAUGCAGGUAGAUGUGAGAACAAGUGGGUAUAAGAUGGCUAUUCAGUAUGUGGUCAGAGUGGUGCAAUAACUCCAGGAAACUGGUUAUGCUAACCAGGAGGCCCUGAUUGAUUUCUCCUGCUCAGGAAGGGAGGAACAAAGGAGUCAGAUUGUAUUGAUGAACUUGAUCUUAACAGUUAGUUUAAUUAUUUCUUUUAAAAAUCAAUAGAAUUAUCAUAUGAGAAAGUUUUCUGCAGUUUCUUGUUAUUGAUCAUAUGUCAUAUUUAAAUAAUGUGAAGGGGAAAAAGUACAUUUCUAGGCAAAAUCUUCAUUAUGAUGGAGGGAGCAAGGCUAAGGUUACAUGCUCUUAUGCUACCCAAAUUAUUGCUAUAGAAAUUUAGUAAUUACUCCCAGGAGAAUUACCAUAAAGCUGAAAGAGUUAGGGUUAAACUUAGGAAAAAUCCAUAUGAGAUAAAUGACAAAAAUGCUUUCUUUAUGAUGAGAUUCUUAAUACUUUGUGUAAUUAGGUAACAAAACUCUGCGCUGCAAUAAAUUGACAUAUUUUUUUUCUUUUAAACUGAGUUGUCCAGAAGCCUAUAUACACAUCUUUUCAUUAGCACGCAGAUCUAAGCUGCGUUUAAGUAUAUAAUUUUCUGAGAUCAUUACAGUAUCUCUGUUAAAUGUGCUCCCUACAUGCAUGCUCAGCCCCUACUUGAUUAAAAAUCACUAUUUGCACACUGUCACAACGCUGGUUUGAGGAGCGGGUCUGACUUACGAAAUUCAUUCUAUUUCAGAGGUAUAACAAUAAGUUACAUUUUAAAGCAGAAUUCAUCAUCAAAGUGGACAGUGAGGCACGGUGGGCUCAAUGACGCUCAGUUUUUCCCGUCGGCUCCUUUCUGCUCCUCCGUUUGCCUUGCUGGCUUCAGUGGCUGCCAGCUCUGAGCUGCCUUUGCAGCAGGAAGCGGAGCAACGAGCCCCCGUCUUCCUGGGACAAGUUAUGCCUCGGCCUGCCCCGUUGUUUCUCUAAAGCAGCACCCAACAUUUGGCUAACCAAACCCAGAUUCUUCAGAAGAUGGGCAGAAAGGAACUAGGAAGAAUUUCCAGGUUCUCCUUGUUUGUGUGUUACCUUCUCUUUCUGACUCAUACUGCAUGUGCCUUUUUAAGUACUGGGACAGUUAUCCAUUAACAAUGGCACAGAAAAAAAUUUAAUUCCUGUCUGGGUAAGCCUGAUGACCAGAUUUUGAGCAAAGAAAAAUUUAGGAAGAAAGUAGACCUGGGAGUGAGAAUGGCUACUGUAGGGUUCAAUAUGUUCCUUCCCCUUGGAUGCUAGGGAAACUGCAGGAAUUGUGUGCAGUCUUGUCUUGGAGCUUCUGGCAAAUGUCGGUCUCAGACAUGCUGUGGUGGGCCAGAACUGACAGUGGUUGAAGCUCUGUGUUGAUUUUCUCCCCUCAAGACCAUAAAGAGCCUGUAGCUUUUUAAAGAAAUCUCUUUUUUUCAUUACUUGGGCAGGAAUAUCAUGGCAGCAUAGGUUGGGAGCAUCCAGCCAGUGGUUCAGUUGUCAACUAGGAGAAGUUGGCAGUCCAGCAAAAACUGGGUGAGACGCAGAUCUUUCCCGGGAAAUAGGCUCACUGCAUUUUUUUGUCAAUAAAUCAGACCAGUAAACAAUAUUGUGUGGGAGGGAGAGAGGCUCAGCUUCUUUCUAUUCCCAGGCAGAAUGAGGCUUCUGCCUCUGUGUGCACUUCUGGGACAUUAAUGUAAAAUAGGAUUGGCCACCGAUCCGAGCUGAGGUUAAGCAGUCUGGCUCUUGUACAGGGAAACAGCAGGUAUCAGGUAAUCUCUUACAUGUGAAUCUUUUACUCAGGAAGGUAGUGCUUUAAGUUUAGGGAUAAUAUACUUUGCUUUUCCAGUCUAACGUGUGCACAGAGUGCAACAUACAUCAGUUUUGCCUAUGGGAGCUACAACCAAUACCUCUGUAAUUAACAGUUUAACAUCUCAGUGUGUAUGCGUAGUGAACAUUGUAGUAAUUCAGAGAAAGGGUAGCUGUUAAUGGUACAGGAGGAGAUGGGGUUUAAGCUUUCUCAGUGCAGGUCUCAUUCCAGGCUACAAAACCUGGUGUUUCUGAUAGUGCCUAUGAACACCCUUUCGUACUCCUCUUGGUGGACUGACCAUUUCUGUUGAGUGACCUCUGUGAAGUUCAUCAUUUGUGUUGGCAUUUCUGUGCCAUUGUCCUCAUGUGCCAUCAGGAUCCCACUUUGAUUCACAUUUUAAAAUGUUGCUUCUUGGCUAGACAAGGUUUGAUACGGCAUCAGGGAUUAGGAGAGUUCCCAUCACGGGAUGGAAACCGCUGUGGAGCCGGGUCUGGCUGCCUGCUCGCACGCUGUGCAUGUGUUCCUUCAGCCCAGCUGAGCUCAUUCUCAGAGGGACAGAGAGACACGGCCCUACUGACUGCUCAGGAAUUUGCAUCCCCCUGCAGCUGCCCCUGUCACCGAGGCCUUAAAUCUCUGACUGUCCUUCUAACUGUUCCCCCUCCAGACUUGUGGAGGUACCAGUCUGCAGCCGUAAGAGCCAUAACCCCUGGUGUGCUUGUUGCACUGACCUGUUACUUGUCAGAUUCCAUAAGGUACCACUGAGGUUACUGUGAUGCAUUGUAGAUAUCUGGUAUGUAUAUUGCUUUCUAAUUUAUGCUUUACCCUGUUCUUAUUUCCAGGAGAUGAGCUUUUUAACAGCUAUGUGGGUGUUACUGUGGUGACUGUAACCAGGCAAAAACAUACAGUUCAUACUGAGAUAGUUCUACAUUUGUGGACUUGGAUAUGAUUAAGAGAUUUUUAAAGGCAUGCUGUAUUUUUUGCACUUCCCUGCAUAACAGAGAGGUUUCUUACGAACUUUCGGUUCCAUGCUAUAAAAGGGAAAGGUGAUUAAUCUUCAAAAGCAUGUGUGUAUAAGUGUAUUAUGUACAAGCACACACCUAUUGUGCAAACAAAUGUUGUGACUUCUCGCUAGUUAGAGAUUUAGAAGAGAUUUUUCUCCAAGCAUAAUUAAGAUUGUUUAGAUAUUUGGCUCUUCAUUUCUUUAUGCUUUAUUUGGAUUUCUUGUUAAACUUCAUUUUACCUUAGAAUUUCCAGGGUUUAUAAUUCUUGGAAUUAUUCCGUGUGAAUAAUUGCCUUAUCUCUGUACUAUAUUUUACUGUAAAUCACUGCCAUGUAGCCUUAACAAUGCCUCCCUCUUCAGUUUUUUUUCCAGUUUUAUAAUGUAAUUUCCCUGCAGUAUGAGGCUUUUGAGGAAUCAGCAUUCUGUGAUUCUCACCAGAGUGCCUUUCUGAAAAAGAUCUCUGACUACUUAUGCCAAUGCAAAGUGAAAGUAAAAUUCCAGAUCCUGAAGAGUAAGUGCAAAGGAGAGAACCGAGUAAUCCUGUGACGCGAUGUUUCCUGUGAGGUUACCUUCUGGACUCGGGAUCUGGUGUUUCAGAAAAGACCCAUCCUUGAAACUCUGUGUUCUGUUACGUUUGAUCACUUUGACCUCCUCAACAGCAAAUGGCUUCCCUUGAAAUCCUCAGUGUCUGUUGUUCUUGCUUCACAUUUGAAAUCUAACAGGCAUGAUACAAAUUUCAGGUAACUCCAACUUUUUUCCAUCCUACUUGGUAAACUUGUAUUGACCCAAAUAUAAUGUAUAUUAGAGGUAACAUACUGUGUCAGAUGUUUUCAUCCUGUCACCUGAUGUUUUCGGAACAAGAAAUUUCCAUUUGAAAGCUUGCUGCAGAUUGCAUGAUGGAAGGUAGGCAUGUCGCUGAGGGUAGGUAAAAGGAGGGGUGACCUUUUACAGGGUCCAUAACCUGGAUUUGCUCUGAAAAAAGUUUGGAGAAGGUCUGGAGGAGACUGACCCAGGCAGCCUGUCCCAACCCCAAGCACUGACCAGGAGGACAUCUCCAUGAGAGCUUUAUUCCAUGACUGAAGAAGAAGGGGUGUGAGCCUGUGUACACCCACUGCUGCUUUUCUGCAUGCUUCUUUUUCAAUUCAAACAGGGGGAAGUAGAUACACACCUACAUUUCUCUCUUCAGUAAUUAAUCCAAGAGAAGUGACUACUACCUCAUGCAGCAGUUGCAGACUGAGCACAUGGCAAUACAGACUGCCCAUCACUUAUGUGGAAUUCAUUAUUUCUUCUAUCAAGUCAGUCACAGCAUUAUUUUCCUCUCAGUGUGCUUCACUCCAUUUUGAAUUUUGCUUUUCAGGCUCUUCCAUUCAGUCUCUCGUAACCUGCUUGUGCACAAAUUAUUUCAUCUGGAGGUGGCUGGACUGAUGAUAAUAAUUUGUUUCAGGAAGUUUUUAGAGGUCACCGGUGUCAAGGAACAACAGUUUGCAUUAUCUCCUUUAUUACAUGUAUUAUUUUUUCGAAAGAGCAUUAUUUGUGUCACAUGGCAACUAGAAGCAUUCUUGAAAUUUGUGCUUGUUGCAGAUUUCAUAUCCUCUUCCCCCAACUUUGAAAUUGUUACAUAAAUUCAAAGAUUAAACCCAUUAUUUUUAGUAUCAAUAUCUGGGCAAGGUGGAAGAUGAUUCUUUAUUUCUAGCUUUUUUAUUCAAGAAACACUUAUAUAAAAAUAAUAAAAUUUUAAGGAGAAGGUAAGCUAAUUUAGAAAGAUUAAUAAUAUGAAUUUUAAUUAAUUUUGUAACUGUUAAAUAUUUAGAAGUUUUGAAGUAUCCUUUUCACUGCUCCCAGGUGUAAAAUCUAAGCAAAUAGUUGAAGUUAGACUGGUCUUGAACUGGCAUCUUCCAGUCUCUGAGUGGAAGUAUGGUUUCUGUACAGUCUGCUAUUGCCUAUCAUACCCUCAGCUGAUCUUCAUAAAAAGGCCAGCUGAAGUAUUGCUGAGCCUGUGGAAACAGGAGCAAGUGCUUCCAGUGUCAAUCCCAGCAAUGUUUUAGUUGUUAGGACAAGGCUUUUGCUCCUAUGAAUUCCAGUCUUGAUGGAAGUGCCUGAUGUUCUCUGUCAUACUCUAAUGAGCAUUUGAAAUGUUAAGCAUUAACGAUGCAUUCAAGUGAUGGAAAAAAUUCCUCCCAACUGAUCUGGCCACACCUUUACUCAAAGGACCAUUCCCCAUGCGACUGCUGCCGUAUUAGUCGGACAUAGCGAGACUACAAGCGAUCGACGAGCUUUUGCAUAUGGGGCCAGACAGAAACUUCCAUUCUCUGGGAAAAGAACCAGAGGGAGAUGCAGUUAAUGGAGUGAAAUCUGCUCACCCCUGUCAGGAAAGGAGGAGUGACUAUAAACCGUGCUGUAACUGCAGUGAAUGAGAUGGGUGGCAUCAGGAAUACCCCAACUCACCAGACUCUGGCAGGAGAAGGCCUCCUCCAUAUCCCACAGGCUAAAAAAGAUCCAGAUUGACAGUUUUGCUGUAUGAGAGAAGAGUUUCAAGGGCUGUUCCUCAGCUUCAGGCCCCUUUCUAACCAAAGGCUGCUGUUCGAUGGGCAUUUGCAGAAGCUGUCUUUGCCAGUCCAAUAUAUCUAAAUGCAAAGAUACAGAAAGAUAAAUCUAGACCAUACGAUUGCUGGCUGUAUGGCGUUUACCCGUUGGCAACCAUCUCCCUGUGGUGACAUCAGCUGAGGUGGGAAGACUAUAAUUUUACAUUGCAGUAAUCAUUUAAAGUGAAAAUGAAUGUUAACAUUUCUCUGGUAUGCAUAUACCCUAGUCUACAUGUUUGUUCAAUAUCCUGGAUUCCUACUGAGUGACGACCUACUGGGGUCAUUACCAUACAGAUUUAGGGUUAAAAUGAAUGUUUCUAUUAAAAAGAAAAUCUUGCAAAUUCUGCUUUGAGAAGAGCUACUUUCUUGAACAUGAAAAAAGUUUUCUCAGGCACCCACCUCCCAUUUUCAAAAUACUCUUUACAAUGACCCUCACACUACAGUCCUGAAUAAGGAGCAACAGGACAAAAACCUGAAUCUGUUCAGCUUCAUUUUAUUGUUGGCAAUAAGAGACACACCAUAACUGAGCAGCAUCUGGGGAAAGGGGCAGUUAAGUAAUAUGGAAGCUUUCCAUGUAGAUAACUAGGUGUUAAAAGGUGUCUGAAUGAGGGCAUUUUUCUUCUUCAAACCUGCCUUUGCUCUUGUGUGUGUAACUUUCAGGCUCAGCAUGACCCCGCAAACAUUUAGGUAUGUGCCUAACUCGAGGCACAAGUGUUGCGUGUCUUUCAAAUAUGAAUCCCAUUGAAAAUUAUUCCAACACAUCCAAUGGCAGCAGCAUCUUGUUCUUACUGCAGUCCCCUGCUAUAAGUAAGUUUAUUCGGAGACUGACAGACAUUCCAUCCCAGCAAGCACUGGAUCUCAGGUAAAAGCUGUACACAUACAGCAAGACGGCUAUGAUGGAGCCAGACCAGAAAAGUGCUGUUUGGCCCAAAUGGUUAUAAUGGGUACAGUACAGAUAUUGCUUGCCUGUAUAUACGCAAGAGAAUGCCCUUUCUAUGCCUCUACUGCCUCCUCCUUUCCACAUCUGUGCAGCAAACAUAGUGUGCAAACCAAUUUUAAAGGGUUGACUGUGCAGAGUCAGCAUGUCUACAAGGACCUGCAAACCCGGGUGCCAUUUCAAGACCUGCUGGGGAGUAUCUUCCCUUCAGUUUCCGUUAUCUUGGGGAACACAACUACUGACCUCAGGAAAGUACUUUGAGCUUUACUGACAGAGAGGAAGUUCUGAGUACGAGGUUCCAUGCCUGCUCUCUUCACCUGUGCAACAGAACAGGCAGGGCUUGGGCAGCUCUAGCAGCACAAAUAAAUCCUAUGUUAAUUGUAACUAUUGUUAGCCUAAUUUGUGUGCUAAAAGAGUAGUCUGGACAACGCAAAUUCUGUCUCUAGCAAUUCGAUGUUCCGUUUAAAAACAAAACAAAUCUGGGCUGUUAGUGAACGUAAGGCUACGAUAGUAACAGCGAACAGGCCUAUGUCAUCUGCACUGGCUGGAGACCAAUUACGGUGGACGAAAAGAAGCUAAAAGUUUAUUAAGGGCUGCAGCCCUUCGUAUGGGAACAGAAACAGAUCUCAAGCGGUUUCAGCUGAGCGUUACAGGAGAAUCGGCGAAGCAGCUGGCCCGGUCGAGCUGCACCGCACAGCGCUCCCCGCCCGGCCGCCGCCCCAGCCCGCCGGAGGCAGCCGCGCCCGCCCUGCGGCGGAGCCCCACGGGGAGCCCAAGGCCGCCGCCACCGCCGGGCGGAGCCGCAGCCCACACCCGCGCCUGUCACCGCCCCGCGCCCCCUCCUCCCCGCCCGCCCGCGCCGCGCCCCGCUCCGCGGCGACCGGGCACCGCUCGCCUCGCAGCGGCCUCACGCCUCACCCGGCCCUGACGGAGGCGGGGGGCGGCGCCGGUGCUGCCUGAGGCGAGGCCGGGCGGCGGCGGCCCCGCGAGCCCUCGCAGGGGGCACAGCUAGGCCCGGCCCGCGGCACCUGCCCCGCGGCGAGGCGGUGGCGGAGGCGCGGGGCCGGCGCCCAUCUCGGUGCCCCCCCCGCUUCGCCCCACGGGCGGCGCAACCCCCCCGGCGCGUCCCCUCUCUCGGGCUGCGCGGGCCCGCGGCCGGGAUGAGGU
This is an RNA transcript of Falco peregrinus (peregrine falcon), 10286 nucleotides long. It is a transcript of the gene named X-prolyl aminopeptidase 3, with no coding region annotated. The record is from RefSeq and is a predicted model, not a curated record. NCBI's taxonomy places the organism in Eukaryota, Metazoa, Chordata, Aves, Falconiformes, Falconidae. The transcript has 16 exons.